CGUUGCACGCGCAUGGGCUUGAGGUGCGGAGCGGUCGGGAGAUGGCGGUGGCGCGGCGCCGUACUUGAGGAAGCUGACGACGACGUGAAUGGCAAGGCCGCCCUUCGCGUCUCUGUCUGUAAAGGUUGCGGGUUGUGCGGAAACCAUCGACGCGACGAGCGUAGACAGGUGUAUCCGUCAUUUGCCGCCGGAUUCCUUCCGCCUCAGCCAGGACCUUGUGUGCCCUUCUCUGAUGUUGUGAAAUGUUAACUCAUGCAUGCCGACAGCCGCCACCAUGCUCCAGCUGCCUCAGGCUUCAGGGUGAUGAAUUAGUCAAGCUAUUAAAUGGCAGCGACGUUCCUCACACACGCUUCCAAUGCAGAAUUGCUGGCAGGGCCAUCAUCACCUAUGUCAUGAACUGCUACUACAAGCCCUCAAGAGGAGGAGGUGAAGAUGGAGCGCAAUGGUGGCGGUCUUGGCCUUGCUCUCGCUAUUAUGGCUGCCAUCUGGCUUCUCUGCCGCAUCGUUGUUUUUGCCAGCAGCGGCGGCUCUUUGCUGUCGAUUGAUUGCAUGCGGCAUUCAAGGAGAUGCCUGGUGGCAGUUGUUGCCGAUGCAGCUAUGCGCCAUUGUCCUUUCAUUGCUCCACAUUGAUGGGCCCUCAGAGGUGGCCAAUUGUGGGUGACAGGUGGCCAUAAGCACAAUAGAAGGCACCACGCAGAGCUAGAAGAGGAUGCUGGCCGGCAGACCACCUCUCUUGCCGUCAAGGGCACCAUUCAGCCGCCUUUUUUUUUUUGCUUCAGAGGCUUCUUGUGCUGCUACAGUAACUGGAUGCUUUGAAGGAUUUGAAUGGAGUUCAUUCUAGGUGGGUGUGCAAAUCAGCAGCCUGCUGCCAUGUCUUUUCUUGCCGGAACCCCCCGCUGCUGGAUGCUCCCCUCCCGUCCUGGCACGGCAAGGCACAUCUGCCUCUUGUGUGAAGAGAGUCGCUGGGAGAAGACAACAAGGAUGACUCUGUCCAUAUUCCAGGUCGCUCUUCCUGCCGUGCCCUGCCUCAGUUCACGUUUGCAUCCUGAGGCGAUUUCUGAGCUAUCGGGUUCUUGAUUUCGUGCACAGGUGGGGAUUGCGUUGCCCUGUGGAACGGGUUCCCGUACCUCCUCUGUGCCGAGGCUGGUUGCUACCCCUGCUCGCGGCCGGCGGCUGCAAGGCACGAUCACACAAGAAAUCUAUGUUGAUUACAGGAAAGGCAUGCUCAUUUGUUCUCAGUACUGUUUUGAUUUUUCUACAAACAAUUGGCUUUGUACAGGUAAUUGAUAUAACCUACACAAUUGGGUUGUAUAAGAAUCAGGUUGCUACACUAUACUCCAGUGCCUUUCUGUUCAAUUUUCUGUUUGAUUACUGCAUCUUUCAUCUUUUCUAAUAUUAGGCGAUUAUGCUGGGUCAUUUGUGGCAUGCUCUUCUCUCUUUGCAUAGUGGAAAUACUUUUUGAUUACCAUUAGAAUAGGAGAUCACGCAAAGAUGUAUGCCAAGUUCUUAUUAUCAUCUAGCUAUUGGUUCCUAUCGAUAUUCAUGUCAAAUCUUGACAAGAUAUUUAUUGUUGUGAUUCAAGUAAGUAGGGGUGCAAAUUUAAAGCCAUCAUCUGGCCCUCCUUAGUUCAAAUAAAUGAACUAAAAUUUCAAGUUAAAUCAUGCAUUAUUUAAAUAGUUUCUACUUUGAGCUCUUCAAAUUUUAUGGAGAUACUCUCUCAAAUUUUGUUGUGUCCAGCAAGAAUGAAAAAAAAAUGUUCUUAACUGCAUUUUCUUCCUGCCUUUGAUUUCAGACAAUGUGCAUAUAUAUCUUAGGAUUCUCGAACCAGUGACAAUGUGGAAGGCACAUCCUUCGGUGCUUAGAUAUGCAACUUUUGAGUCUCUGCAGUGAAGAUUUCGCAGAACACGCAUUAGGGAUUAUCGACAUACAGAAAAUUGUCACAUCAUUACUAACUGCGGCAAAGAUUAGCAGCGAGUGCGAGGACGUCGUCCGAUGCUCGGGAAACGCUGCGGGAGUUCGCCUGUUCGGAGUUGUAGAGUGCAACCACGACCUCUUCCCUGCCAGCACCCGAUCUAGUGUCGUUCGUCCCACGACGGCGAGAUCCAGUUCCCCUGUGGCCUCUUCCUUCGGCCUUGGUUGACAAAAAGCAGUAAGAAAUCCUCACAUUUCCAAAUUUCUUUGCUACAAUUCAAUUACCUCUUCUCACCGUGCAAAUUUAAGAAACUCAACAACACAUUCUGAAGUGUUGUUUGUUGAUCAACUGGUUUAAUCAGUGCUGGCUUUGCGAGACUGUUGUCGUGUGAAAUUUUCAGAAGGAAAAAAUGCCUGUAGAUAUUGCUCUUCAAUCAUAUGACAAUAAACAUCAAUCUUCUCUUUUCUAUGCUGAAUGGUCAUUGCUGCUUGAUUUAGUGCGUUGCUGUGCAGUAAAUAUCAAGGCUUAAUUAGUAUAAGACUAAUAACAAUGGAAGAUCUAGAAGUUUCUAUCUCUGAACUUGCAGAGUUCUCCGAGCUUAGGAUAGCAAGACAUUGUCGAGGUUCACAAAGAGUAAAAGGCGACCUUACAUGAGCAUAACAAUAGCAGUACAAAUGCCAAAAGAAUUUGGCACACAAGUACAUAGUUACCACAACAAUAUUAGUACAUCAUAAAUGAUUGCUACGUCAUAAAACUCAGCGUCUAAGUUCCCCUCUCAGAACACACACAGUUAUAUUAUCCAGCAUAUCACUUCAGGAUGAACACACACAGGUUUGCUCAGUGUUAUCCAUCGGUUAGGGGCAUGCAUCCUUCUAUUCUGUAUCUUGAUAUACAGAAAGAAAUACUAUGUAUUGUUUACUCUUACUGAAUUGAUAAUGAGGUCUUAGCUGUAAUGUUAAUAUCCGUGAAAUCAAUAUCUAAGGUUGCUAUUCUUAAGAUUUAGUCGUUUCGUACUCCUAAUUUUGCACUGGGAUUUAAUGAACAUGAAUGCAGAAAAGGUUAACAUGCCUUGAACAUCUUUAUUUACUGAACAGAAAUAGACAAUUCAGUGUGAAAAUUUGGAUUUUGGAACACGCCUAUGCUUGAUAGGAUUUGUGUAUCUCACCCUUCCAAUGAAAUGAACUGUAUGGCAUCUAAAUUUCGACCCUCCGCCGCUAGAUCAUUUGCUGUGAAGAACUCUCCAGUAAGCGAUUGAAGUGUACACUGGAUAUUGGACUUCCAAUUGCGUGAUCCAUAUUGGUUGACUGAACACAUAAUUACCUUUUUUAUGUCCUGCAAAUAUGUGGUGUUUUGCAGAUUUAUGUUAACACAAGCUCACACCAUAUAUUUUCUAUGUACCUCUGUAUCCCAAUGGAAAAUGCAUUCUACAGAGCACUGUAACUUGGCAGUGCUUAUCUUUUCCUGAUUGACACAUGCAUUUCUUGAGAUGGACCAAAGCAGAACCUUGAUUCCGUAUAGUUUGCUUGCAUUCAGCUAACUUAAUAGCAGCGAACUAUCAAAUGAUUUCUGAACAAUAGUUAUUUGAUAUCAUUUUUGUUUUCUAUCACCAAUAAUGGUUGCUCCUCCGAUGCAUGUAGGCUAUAUCAUCAUUCAAGGAGAUUGUGGCAAAAUGAAGUGCGAUGCUAGAAACUUUCUCGUGAUACAAAAAACUCUGAAUCGUGGCAUUGUGUAGUGAAAAUAUGAAGAGGCUGGUACCAUUAUUAGUUUUUUACUGACCAGAAAAUUGUACUACCUCCGUAAACUAAUAUAAGAGCGUUUAGAAUACUAAAGUAGUAAUCUAAACACUCUUAUAUUAGUUUACAGAGGGAGUACUAUGUAUCUUCUAGGAUUGUUCUUGAUGCAUAUUUUGCUCAAGUUAAGUCUUUAUACCAUAUGAAUGGUUCUGCACACUCUCACUGCCAUAUCACUAAAAUUAUUUUUCCGUGUAAAUCAUUGGUCACACUUUUCUCAUAAUUCUACUCAGGUCAAAAUGUCGUAGAAAUUGUGUUUUCUGGUGUUUACGAGCAAGGAUGUCAGCAUUGUGGGUUGGGGCAUGGUUGGGCUUUGUCUUGGCGGAGUGGCUAUAUACUUUAGAGUUGUGUUGAGGGAUUUUUUUGCAUUAGCAAUUAAUAACUCAAGUAUAUUUUUAAAGAUGUUUCUUGCUUGGUGCUCUUCUUUGGUUUCUGAUCAGUUUGUGCCUGUUGUGUAGUGUGUAGGCUAUGUUCUAUUGGUUUGGACUGCCUUGAAUUGUUUGUUAUCGGAUAGAAAAUGCAACUCAGUACUCCAUUAUGUGUCACAACAGGUUUGGUAUAGACGUUUCAGGCUGACUCCUUACUUUUGCUUGCUCGAAGUUUAAGGUGCAUGCCACUUAAUUUUCUUCACGGGAGGAGGGUUGGCCAGAAGUAGGUGAGGUAAAAAAGUAGGCUCCAUCCCUGUUACAUCUGUUCAGACUACUGAAUUUGGUUCCCUUACUCAUUUCAGUUUCACUUGGUGUAUGUGAAGCAAUGCAAUUUACUUCCAUUGCUGCCAUCUUGCUUUUCGUGAGUUAAUUCUGUACAAUUAGUCAACAUUGUAGACGGUGGCCUGAUAGAGCGUUUUCUGUAAUGCAUGGUUAAAUAGCUUUUAGGUUGAUUUGAUAAGACAACUUUUUCUAAUGUCAGGCUUAGUUUACUUUUUGUAAGAGUAGGUUUGAACCAUGUAAAUAUGCUUUAACAACUGAAAUUUUGACACAUGACAUGUUUUUAUUUGUUAUAUUUUAAGCUUGAAACUCAAAUCUCAGCUAUUCCCUAAAUAUUUAAAUACUGAACCUUUUGUUUUCUACACUGCCAUGGUCUCCGUGGUAUUAUUUUGAUAGGCUCACAACCACUAAUUGCUAUUAUAUGAAAUGAUAAAUUAAUGUGGGCAGUCAUGACUAUUUUAUACAUCGAUGGUCUGAACUAGAAAUGUUUGACUGCGCGUUACACAUCAAGGAGGGGGUAUUCAUGUGUGUGGUCUGCAGUGGUAUAUCAGUUAAAGAUGUGCUAAUUUUGUUGUUAAUGCUUUGACAUGCUAUGAAAGUUUUCUGUAUGGCAAAGGACGUGUUCCUUACUUUCUCCUGUGUAUUUAUUUCAGAAGUUCUUCGAGCAUUUGUUUUUAACUUGUAGCUUAUAUUGACAGCCAUGGUAGAUUGAAGUAGUGGCAUGUAACUGAUUUCACAUUCUUCUAUGAAUAAUACCCGGACUGCUCUGUGCUAGAUACAUCCGCUUGAGCGACAAUUAGUUCCGGACGGAGGGAGUAUGUUUUUUGAAGACUGCUCUGUCUUUUUUCCUUCUAGUUACUGGCCAUAAGCCCUUAGCUAAUGCCAACUCUGCUGUAACAUGCCUAUUGACCACCAGAAACCACUUUGUUUUCUGUGUAUGCUGGCCAUUUCAGUGUAGUUGUUUGAUAUGCUGCCAACAACUUUUCCCUUUCUUCUUUCUUACUCCCUCGGUCCCAUAAUGUAGUGCACAUUGGUUUUCCUGAAAGUCAAGCUUCAAAAACAUUGACCAAAUUAUUGAGAAAAAUCUAAUAUGUUUCAUGAAAAUAUAUAUCAAAUAUAUAUCACAUGAAAAUAUAUUUCAUGAUGAAUCAAUUGCUUUUGAUUUCGUAUUUUGGAUGUUGAUAAUUUGUUUCUGUAUAUUUGGUCAAAGUUUACAAGGUUUGACUUAAAAAAAAUCUAAUAUGUACUAUAUUUUGGGACAGAGGGAGUGCUAUUUAGUUAUUUCCUCGAGCAAAUCGAUGCUUAUUUAUGCUAAUGCAUAUGUUGUUUUAGUUCUAGUUGUGUGCAUGGCAUAUUGUUUUUCUAGAAGAUGCAGUUCUGAAUUUUCUCAUGGGUCUAUGAAUCUAUUAUUGCAUGAACUGGUGAUAUGCGGUCAAGUUGACUGACACCAUUUGGCAUUUCUAGUGCUUGAGUUGACAAAUUCGAUGUAAUCAAAUAGUGUCCCUAGAACUUAAAAAGUCAUCUAUUUAUCUAGUGUAAGUGUUGUCCUUUCCUUUUUAUGUGCCGGAAUUCUUCUACAUUCUGAGCAUCAACACACUUUUAGAUAGUACACUGGCACUGCUGCACUGGUGAUUCUAUCUUCUUUAAUACUCCCUCUCUUCACUUUUAUAAGACGUUUUAGACAGUUUAGACAGCACCCAAAACAGUCCAAUGCCAGCUCUGAAACGUCUUAUAAAAAAGAACGGAGGGAGUAUGUGAUUUAUGCUUCUGAAAGUGUCCACUAGGUUUUAUUGCUUGAUGAAUUGAGUGUUGUUUUUUGAGGAAUUGACUGUUGUAUUUGCUUAUAGGUGCAAUAUUUUGUAUCAAAUUUACCUUUAACAAUCUGUUACUAACCUUGGUUUUCCUUUGUCUCUGUCCCUUUUUUCGUCCCCUCCAAUGAUGGUGCCUGGACUAUGACCUCUGCCUUUUCAUGUUUGAUUUUCCUCUGCUGCUGCUAGGUAUUGUUUUGGCUUUUGUUUAUACAGGGUGCAUACUCACAUAAUGCUCCUUGCUCUGAAACAUUUAGUUUGACGGCCAUAUUCUGUUUGUACAUGCAAUUAUUUCUAAUAUGUAAGCAUAUUUGUAGGAUCAUACAGUGGCAGACUACGCACUCUAUAGUUAGUAUAUUUACUUACAGUCUUGGAUACACUAAAUGAGAGCAAAGUUUGGAUGUGUCAUUGUCUGCACUCAUAUAGUUUCCUGAUGAAUAUGACGGAGCUACAUCUCUUUGACUGAAGAAAAUGAGGACCAAGCUCUCAAGACAGUUUUGUGUCUUCCACAGCAGGGCAAUUGCCUGAAAGAACCAUAACGUCAGUCCAUGCAUUCAGUUGUCUGUGCAGCAGCCUGCCAGCUGUCAUUUGAUUUGUAAUAACAUUAAUGUGGUCAUGUAGGUUACACAUGUACUAAGAACUGGUUGACUAUGUAUGACCAUCAGGUGAACUAAUAUUUCCUAUUAUUUGUU
Long non-coding RNA from Triticum dicoccoides, 6909 nucleotides. RefSeq lists it as uncharacterized. The transcript has 12 exons. The record is from RefSeq and is a predicted model, not a curated record. Lineage: Eukaryota; Viridiplantae; Streptophyta; Magnoliopsida; Poales; Poaceae.